Molecule: long non-coding RNA, 227 nt
Filed under: Elaeis guineensis (African oil palm)
Lineage: Eukaryota; Viridiplantae; Streptophyta; Magnoliopsida; Arecales; Arecaceae
Description: long non-coding RNA (EGUI_LNC080123)
Source: RNAcentral
CGUGGAUGGAGGCGACAUGGCUCAAUCUGGGGCAGAUGCAUCGAACCAUCGGAUCAAGGAAGGGCCCAAGCGCUGCCACGUGUCGACAUCUGAAAAACCUUCGUUCGGCACGCUUUCAUCUCGACCGUCGAAGGACCUUAUAUAUAUACGGUCACUUACAUCCAAAACUUUACUUUUUGCUGUCCUGUUUCUGACGCUGAGGCCCUGUCGAAUUGUCCCCCAGUUCC